GAGAGAGGCUGCAGCCACAGAAGAGAGAGGUAGAGGGGAGAGAAGGGGAGAUCUCACAGAGAGGCAGAAGGAGGCAGUGCUGAAGGAAAAAAAAAGCGCCUGUGGUUGACGGGGAUGGAGUCGCGUACCAUAAAAUUUACCUGAGAAUGGCUGCACCCGAUGACUUCUCGCUCAUGAGGAGGCCUGCUAAAUAAGGUGGUGAUCACUUCCGAAGGGAAUUCAUAAUGAGAAAACAUCAGUCCUAAAGCAGAUCUGAUGCCUUGAGGAUAAUCAUGGGUCACUUUGAGGAUUCUGGUGCCUGGUAUUUUCGUAGACCCCAAUGGUGCACCAAUGGAUCAUGGUGAAAUGUUCCAAAAAAUGGGAUGUUAAUCACUGGACAUGUGUCAGUUCCUCAGUUUUGGAGUAUAGGCACUUUCAACUUUCCACUGACUGAAUGUUUUUGCCACUUCUUCUGGAUACUCAACAGAAGAGCUACUGGUCCUACAGUGGAGAACAAUGGAGGAGGCGAGGGCUGUUUAAAAAAUCAGGCCUGUCUUGCCACUCCACCAUGGGGGAUAAGGCUCAAGAGCCCAAGGGGAAGUGUAUCGAUCCUGACCAAAGUGUAUUUUGGCAGCACUGUGGUUCGUGCUCAUGGCUGAUUGAGGAUCAGGCCUAGCCUGCAGGCCAUAAUGAAGAGAACUGAUGUAGGAUGUUAAACCACUGAUCACCUAUCAGUCCCAUAAUCUAGAGAAUGAAGCAAGCCCUGUCUCUACCUUUGAGUACACUUUAGCACACACAUUCAAGGUGCUAACUUGCUAGCUGUACACUGCAUUGCUUUUCUUACUUAGAUUUUUGUCUUCUUUCUAGUCCAAAUAUUUAAAAAUGCUUAUGUCAAGAAGCAUUUUCUAGGCAAGUAAAACACAUUGUCUUGUUUGAAGAAAUAAUAAGCUUUUUCCUUAAAACAAGCAAAAUAAUCAGCCAAUGGUGUAAGCAAAAUAAUCUUAUGUCAAAAAGAAAAACAAGAUUAUUUUGCUUACCCCAUUUGGCUGAUUAUAUUGCUUGUUUUAAGGAAAGCCUCUCUUAAUUGUGGCAUAUUAUUUCUUAAAACAGGUCAAUAUGUUUUGCUUGUCUAGAAUAUUUUGCUUGAUUGAAGAAUUUUCAGAUAUUUGGACUAGAAACAAGACAAAAAAAGUCUAAGUAAGAGAAUAAUUUUAUGUAGUGUAGUGCCUUAAAUUCCAACUAGCAUCUAAACCAAAAACAAUAAUGAAUACAAAUAUGUUGAAGAGUGUUGAGACUGCCAAAAACUUUGUUCACCGACAAAUACUGUCAAUAAUUUCUAAAGUUGUUCCAAACUCUUUCUAAAACUUAUCUAUCUAGAGUUAUCUAUCAGAUGGUAAUAGCUGAUUUUCUCAAGUUUAGAUAAAACUGCAAGUUGGGCAAUCUGCUAAAUAUCUGUUAAAUAUUUUGUGUUUCAUGCAAGAAAAGGUUUGGGGUGAGUUUUAUUUCUGGCUGAACUAUCCCUUUAAGUGUUUACACAGACACACCGCAGGUUAUUAGCGUGAUUAUGUUACCCGUGUCUGAUUCAUUGCAGUAGGUGUUACAUUAGGCCAAUUGAGGUGUGCUGUGACUCAAAAAUACCAAACACUUUCCUCAUACACUUUUCCCAGAUCCUUCAUCAUUUCGGUUUAAAACAGGGUUUUGGCCACUAGGACAUAUUUGAGUGAUGGAUACUGCAUAGACCAAUUCAAUGUGGUGGUGUCAUUGGUCCAAGAAAAGUUCCUGCUUGUUGUCAAACUAUUUCAUAACUGUAACAAGAGGCAGUUCAAUGAUAACUUUACGUUAAAACACCUGCCAUAGGAUUAUUUAUUAACACUUGGAAUUUUUAAUCAAUGGAUUCUCGGAAGCUAUAGAAAUUAAAAAUGUAAAACAGGAAAUUUGUUAGGACCAUUGUUAUUGUUUACAUCCCUCAAAACGGUCUAUAUCAAAUAAAACAUAUUUUUAUGC
This 1983-nucleotide long non-coding RNA is filed under the name Danio rerio (zebrafish). RNAcentral describes it as "lncRNA si:ch211-158e19.2 (ENSDARG00000097549.2)". The record is from RNAcentral. Lineage: Eukaryota; Metazoa; Chordata; Actinopteri; Cypriniformes; Danionidae.